UUGAUCAUGGCUCAGAUUGAACGCUGGCGGCAGGCCUAACACAUGCAAGUCGAGCGGCAGCACAGAGAAACUUGUUUCUCGGGUGGCGAGCGGCGGACGGGUGAGUAAUGCCUGGGAAAUUGCCCUGAUGUGGGGGAUAACCAUUGGAAACGAUGGCUAAUACCGCAUGAUGCCUACGGGCCAAAGAGGGGGACCUUCGGGCCUCUCGCGUCAGGAUAUGCCCAGGUGGGAUUAGCUAGUUGGUGAGGUAAGGGCUCACCAAGGCGACGAUCCCUAGCUGGUCUGAGAGGAUGAUCAGCCACACUGGAACUGAGACACGGUCCAGACUCCUACGGGAGGCAGCAGUGGGGAAUAUUGCACAAUGGGCGCAAGCCUGAUGCAGCCAUGCCGCGUGUGUGAAGAAGGCCUUCGGGUUGUAAAGCACUUUCAGUUGUGAGGAAGGUGGUGUCGUUAAUAGCGGCAUCAUUUGACGUUAGCAACAGAAGAAGCACCGGCUAACUCCGUGCCAGCAGCCGCGGUAAUACGGAGGGUGCGAGCGUUAAUCGGAAUUACUGGGCGUAAAGCGCAUGCAGGUGGUUUGUUAAGUCAGAUGUGAAAGCCCGGGGCUCAACCUCGGAACUGCAUU
Molecule: ribosomal RNA, 625 nt
Filed under: Vibrio vulnificus
Lineage: Bacteria; Pseudomonadati; Pseudomonadota; Gammaproteobacteria; Vibrionales; Vibrionaceae
Description: bacterial SSU rRNA
Rfam family: Bacterial small subunit ribosomal RNA
Source: RNAcentral